GCCCGGGUGGUGAAAUUGGUAGACACAGGAGACUUAAAAUCUCCCGCUGCUAACGCGGCGUACCGGUUCGAUUCCGGUCCCGGGCACCA
Molecule: transfer RNA, 89 nt
Filed under: Gammaproteobacteria bacterium
Lineage: Bacteria; Pseudomonadati; Pseudomonadota; Gammaproteobacteria
Description: tRNA-Leu
Rfam family: tRNA
About the family: Transfer RNA (tRNA) molecules are approximately 80 nucleotides in length. Their secondary structure includes four short double-helical elements and three loops (D, anti-codon, and T loops).
Source: RNAcentral